RNAcentral lists this RNase P RNA (364 nucleotides) under Bacteroides sp. RNAcentral describes it as "RNase P RNA component class A". It matches the Rfam family "Bacterial RNase P class A". Rfam says of the family: Ribonuclease P (RNase P) is a ubiquitous endoribonuclease, found in archaea, bacteria and eukarya as well as chloroplasts and mitochondria. The record is from RNAcentral. Lineage: Bacteria; Pseudomonadati; Bacteroidota; Bacteroidia; Bacteroidales; Bacteroidaceae.
ACAGAGGCGCGGUCUGUCGCUGGAUGCAUUAAGCAUAAAGAGGAAAGUCCGGGCAACAAAGAGCAGCGCAUUUCUUAACGGGAAGCCGGCGGCGACGUCGGGGAUAAUGUGACAGAAAAGAACCGCCCGCUAUUCGUAGCGGGUAAGGGUGAAAAGGCGGGGUAAGAGCCCACCGGGCGUCAUGGCGACAUGAUGCGCCGCACAUCCUGCGCGUUGCAAGGUCAAGUAUACCGGCAAUCAAGGGUUGCUCGCCCGUUGCCGGGGGGUAGACUGCUAUAGCGCGCCGGGCAACCGGCCGCAAAGAUAAAUGACAGACACGUCUUUUGAAGACGCACAUAACCCGGCUUAUAACGCCUCUGUUACU